Molecule: long non-coding RNA, 3078 nt
Filed under: Cucumis sativus (cucumber)
Lineage: Eukaryota; Viridiplantae; Streptophyta; Magnoliopsida; Cucurbitales; Cucurbitaceae
Description: long non-coding RNA (CSAT_LNC000273)
Source: RNAcentral
AGAUUCACAAACUCUUUUCUCAAAGAAGUUUCUUUCAAGCAAAACAUUGAGCUUUGGUGGAAAAACACUGCCCAAGACGGACACCCGGGAUACUUCUUUAUGUGGAGACUCAAACAACUCUCUCAUACAAUCAAAAGUUGGAGUAAAAGCAUAAAAGUUUCCAAUGAUAAAGAAAGACACACUAUUGAAAGAAUUCGAGCACAUUGAUAAACUGGAAGCUGAAAAUAAUAUCACUGAGAUGCACAUUUCUUGUAGAACAUCCAUCAAAACUGAUUUGAAUCAAAUGGCCUUCAAAGAAGCACAAGUGUGGGCCCAAAAAUGCAAACGGUUAUGGAACAUGGAAGGUGAUGAAAACUCUGCUUUUUAUCAUAAAAUUUGUUUAGUUAGGCAAAGGAGAAGCUUCAUAUCAAGUAUUUCCACUGCGCAAGGAGCUCACUGUACAACUGAUAAGGAUAUUGAGAAAACAUUCAUUGAUCAUUUUGGGGAGAUUUAUACUGAUAAGAAAAGAGAUUUAUGGUUCAUUGAAAACCUUCCAUGCACUCCUAUAAAAGAGGCUGCUCAUGAUGAUCUUUGCAAAUUCUUUUAUGAGGAGGAGAUUUACAACGCUCUUAAAAAAUUUUCCCAAAAAUAAAUCUCCAGGCCCUGAUGGCUUCACUAUGGAGUUUCUCAAAGGUACAUGAAAAUUCACAAAAGAAAAUAUCUUGGAAAUCUUUAAUGACUUCCAUGAAAAUGGCAUCAUCAAUAAAAUUGUGAAUUCUACCUUUAUUGCUCUUAUUGCCAAAAAGGAGACCUGCUCAGUCCCUUCGGACUACAGACCUAUAAGUCUUACAACUGGUCUUUACAAGCUCAUAGAUAAAGUAAUUGCUGAAAGACUUAAAACAGUUCUGCCUGAUAUAAUCUCAGAGAAUCAAUUAGCUUUCGUCAGAGGGAGGCAGGUUAAUGAUGCCAUUUUUGAUUGAAAAUGAAGCGGUGGACUUCUGGAAACAGAAAAAAACCAAAGGCUUUGUGGUCAAGCUUGACAUUGAAAAAGCUUUUGAUAAAAUAAAUUGGACACUCAUUGAUUAUAUGCUUCAUAAGAAAGGCUUCCCCCACAAAUGGCGUAAUUGGAUUAAAGCAUGUAUUUCAAGUGUUCAAUACUCCAUCCUUAUUAAUGGCAGACCCAAACGUAAAAUCAAACCCACAAGGGGUAUUCGACAAGAAGAUCCUAUCUCUCCUUUUAUAUUUGUUCUCGCCAUGGAUUAUCUCAGUAUACUUCUCAAUCACUUGGAGAAAGAAAACUUGAUAAAAGGUGUAAGUUUCAACGGGAAACACAACCUCACUCACCUUCUUUUUGCUGACGAUAUCCUACUCUUUAUGGAGGAUGAUGACGACACCAUUGAUAACAUGAGAUAUGCCCUUAAGCUUUUUGAAUUGCCCUCAGGUCUCAACAUCAACCUCAAUAAAUCUACGAUUUCACCUAUCAACAUCGAUACGCAGAGAACAAAUUGUGUGGCGUCAACAUGGGGAUUCUCUAUAAACUUUCUUCCCAUUCAAUACUUGGGAGUGCCUUUGGGAGGUAAACCGAAUUCUAGACAAUUUUGGUAUGAACCUACUGAAAAACUCCAGAAGAAAAUCAACAAUUGGAAAUAUGCUUCUCUUUCCAGAGGUGGCAAAAUAACUCUCAUUAAAGCUACUUUAUCUAGCAUUUCAAAUUAUCAUCUUUCGGUUUUCAAGCCUCCCAAAUUUGUCUACAAAGACAUUGAGAAAAUUUGGAGGAAUUUUCUCUUGAGAAAUACUUUCGAUAAGAAAAAUAUCAACCUCAUCAAAUGGUCAACGGUUCUGUCUCCUAUCAGCAGAGGUGGCCUGGGCAUCAACGGCGUUGAGAGUACAAAUUUUGCUCUACUCAGCAAGUGGAUCUGGAGAUUUUAUGAAGAGAAUAACCCUCUUUGGAAACGCAUCAUCAUUGCAAAAUACGAACAAUCAUACUUGGGUGAGCUCCCAACUAAGAGCAAAUUCAGCAGCUCCAAAGCUCCAUGGAUGUCUAUCAUUAAAGGAGUCGACCGGGUUCUUCCUCAGAUCAAAUAGAGCAUUAAAAGGGGUGACACCCUCUCUUUCUGGCACAGCCAUUGGCAUGAACUUAGUUCGUUCACACAGUCCAACCCGAGAUUAUUUGCUCUUUCUUCUAGAAAAGAAAACUCAAUUACAAACAUGUGGAAUGCAGAAAAAGUUGAUUGGGACCUUUACCCUUGCAUACCAUUAAGAAGUGUCGAGGAAGCUCUUUGGGACAAUAUGAAAGCCUCCCUCCCCCCCUACCUGUUUCCGGUUUCGACAAUCCUCAUUGGAUUUUAAACAAUAAUGGCUGCUUCUCGGUGGCCUCCAUUAAACUUGCAAGAUUCAAAACAACCAAGAUGAGAUUAACGAUAAUGAUGGGGUUAUUUAUAACAAAUUAUGGAAAUCAAUCAUUCCCAAAAGAUGCAAAUUCUUCUUAUGGGCUCUCCUUCAUUAGUGUAUAAAUACCAUGGAUAUGCUACAAAGAAGACUCCCAACUUGGAAUUUAAAUCCCUCUUGGUGUAUUCUUUGCAAAGCUGCUGAGGAAGACAGACAACACUUGUUCUCCCUCUGCCCCUUCUCAUCUAAACUCUGGAAAAAUGUUGAAGUUGUAUUGGACAGACCCCUUCUCACUUUAAAUCCCGCUGUAUUAUGCAAAGAAACCUACAAAACAAAGGAAAAAACAAAAAUACAAACCAUCGAACAACACCUGGUGGCUGCUAUCCUCUAGAAUAUCUGGAAUGAAAGAAACAGAAGAAUUUUUAAGGGGGAAGAAAAAACAGUUGAUUAUGUGUGGGAAGACACUCAAGCUCUAAUUGGACUAUGGACUAGUCGUUCUUUCCUAUUCAAAAAUUACUCACCUAGCUCUAUUGCUUUAAACUUACAUGCAUUUUAGCUAUUUGGGUUCAUAGGUCUUCCCUCUAGCCCUUUAAGCUUUUUCCUGCUUCUUGUCUUUUAUCUCAUAUAUAUUAAUGAAGCUGGUUUGAUGUGGUUGCAUUGGAUUGUCUCCCUUGAGGAGAUAUCCUCUUGCAUAUGUCAUCUCAAAGUAUC